UUAAGUUCAGCGGGUAGUCCUACCUGAUUUGAGACCAGAGUCAAAGUAAUUGUCCGAAGACGAUUAGAAGCAAACUUCACAAGUCUUACCAGCGAAACUUAUUACGCCAGACGACAUUGUUAAACUCGCUAACUCCUUUAAGGCGAGCCAGAGACUGGCAACACCCAAAUCCAAGCCAUUAAGAAACCCUAAUGGUUGAG
Molecule: unclassified non-coding RNA, 200 nt
Filed under: uncultured Tremellomycetes
Lineage: Eukaryota; Fungi; Basidiomycota; Tremellomycetes
Description: sequence contains ITS2
Source: RNAcentral